RNAcentral lists this long non-coding RNA (377 nucleotides) under Vitis vinifera (wine grape). Its description in RNAcentral is "long non-coding RNA (VVIN_LNC002574)". The record is from RNAcentral. Lineage: Eukaryota; Viridiplantae; Streptophyta; Magnoliopsida; Vitales; Vitaceae.
AUAAGAAGGUGGUGGUGGUGCAGCACCAUAGGUAGGUGGUGGUGGUGCAGCACCAUAGGUAGGUGGUGGUGGUGCAGCACCAUAGGUAGGUGGUGGUGGUGCAGCACCAUAGGUAGGUGGUGGUGGUGCAGCACCAUAAGUAGGUGGUGGUGGUGCAACGCCAUGAAAAGGUGGUGGUGCAGCACCAUAAAAAGGUGGUGGUGCAGCACCAUAAAAAGAUGGUGGUGCAGCACCAUAAAUAGAUGGUGGUGGUGGAGUAAAUGCAUAAGGAUGAACAUAGGCACCAAAGUGAGUUGGUGAUGGUCCCGAUGGGUAAUAAGGAGGUGGUGUUGAUGAAUAAUAAGGAUGCUGCGGCCCAUAAGCAUAAUAAGGAGAAG